UUCCUUCCACACCUGAUAAUGAUUAAAAGGAAGAAAUGAAAAAAAAAAUGGUGAAUCUUUUUGACACGGUUAAAGGAGAAGAGACGAUUUGCAUCAAAAGAUACGAGGACGAGAGAGGCAACAUUAUCCCAAAACCAAAAAUGCUGACCAAACCCGUCACAGCCACGUGUCAUCCCGAUCUCUUCUUUGGCUGUCAUGAGGAACGUUCGAUGCUCUGCUCACCGGUCGUAUCUUUAUCCUCAAUCCUCAUCAUCAUCUUCCUCGAAACGUGCGACACACAAAACCCAAGUAUAAAGAUCACACCUUUCAAUCUUAAAUAUCUCUGAAUCAAACUCAUUUGGUGGGCAGAGAGAGAGAUAAGAGAAAGAUUCAAAAAGAUGGAUCACGCAGCUGAUGCUCACCGUACUGAUUUGAUGACCAUUACGAGAUUUGUGUUGAAUGAACAAUCCAAGUAUCCUGAGUCUCGUGGGGAUUUCACGAUUUUGCUUAGUCAUAUCGUUUUGGGAU
This 507-nucleotide long non-coding RNA is filed under the name Capsella rubella. RNAcentral's name for it is "long non-coding RNA (CRUB_LNC005053)". Lineage: Eukaryota; Viridiplantae; Streptophyta; Magnoliopsida; Brassicales; Brassicaceae. The record is from RNAcentral.